CUCGGAUUGCCCGUCGACGGCUCGCCCGCCCUGGCACUGCGCCGAGCGAGGAGGGGCGGCGGCGUCUAGGGUUGGGUGGGGGCGGCGCCUGAGGUGUGGUGGGGGCGGCGGCGGAGGUGCGGUGAGAGCGGCGCCGGAGGCGGGCGAGAUCGAGGGGGGCGGGACUAGGGCACGGGCACGGGGGGAAGGGGUUGGGUGGCCUCGGGGCCUCGGGAGGUAAAACGCGAUGGGUCGCGAAAGGACGGAAACGCCCCCGGGUUGGUGCGCGGGGCGCGAGCGGGCGGGGGCCGUUUCGGGAUUUCGCGUGGGGGGGCGUUUAGUGGAAUCUGCCGGGAUUGCGGUACAGUCAGUACGGCGGCUGCUGGCUGCGACAGGAUCCGGCGAGCUCAGUCUGGCCGGCGACGAGAUUGGCCGCGGAUCCGGAGCUAGCCGGGAGCCCGGGCUUCCGUGGAGGGAGGGAGGAGGAGGAUGGCGGCGGGUGUGGGCGGCGGCGGUGGUGGGCGGUGUGCGCGCGCGGCGGCGGUGGCAGCCGAUGUGGGCGGCGGCGGCGGCGGCGGAUGGGGAUG
RNAcentral lists this long non-coding RNA (566 nucleotides) under Brachypodium distachyon (stiff brome). RNAcentral describes it as "long non-coding RNA (BDIS_LNC001143)". Lineage: Eukaryota; Viridiplantae; Streptophyta; Magnoliopsida; Poales; Poaceae. The record is from RNAcentral.